AUACUUACCUGGCAGGGGAGAUACCAUGAUCACGAAGGUGGUUUUCCCAGGGCGAGGCUUAUCCAUUGCACUCCGGAUGUGCUGACCCCUGGGAUUUCCCCAAAUGUGGGAAACUUGACUGCAUCAUUUGUGGCAAUGGGGGACUGGGUUUGUGCUCUCA
This 160-nucleotide small nuclear RNA is filed under the name Echinops telfairi (small Madagascar hedgehog). RNAcentral describes it as "U1 spliceosomal RNA (ENSETEG00000021322.1)". It matches the Rfam family "U1 spliceosomal RNA". From Rfam's summary of the family: U1 is a small nuclear RNA (snRNA) component of the spliceosome (involved in pre-mRNA splicing). Its 5' end forms complementary base pairs with the 5' splice junction, thus defining the 5' donor site of an intron. There are significant differences in sequence and secondary structure between metazoan and yeast U1 snRNAs, the latter being much longer (568 nucleotides as compared to 164 nucleotides in human). The record is from RNAcentral. Lineage: Eukaryota; Metazoa; Chordata; Mammalia; Afrosoricida; Tenrecidae.